AACCAUUCUCACCUGCGGCUAGACCUGCGGAGGGAUCAUUAUCGAGUAGUGGUUCUCAUAGAGAGCCCGAUCUCUUCAACCCAUGUGUACUGUCUAGCAGAAGUGUCUGGUGUUGCUUCGGUAGGCCACAAUGCCUACCGGACAGUAGCACUUGCCACCAAUUGUAUAAAAUCUUGUUAAUGUAUGCUGUCUGAGAUAGAUUCUAACUAAUAAAACUUUUAACAAUGGAUCUCAGAUCGG
Molecule: unclassified non-coding RNA, 240 nt
Filed under: soil metagenome
Description: partial contains 5.8S ribosomal RNA, internal transcribed spacer 2, and large subunit ribosomal RNA
Source: RNAcentral